GUACUCUCCGGAGUGACGGGUACACUGUGGGGACCGCCGCUGCUAAAGCGGAGGAAGGAAUGGGCAACGGUAGGUCAGUAUGCCCCGAACUAUCCCGGGCUACACGCGAGCUACAAUGGUUGGUACAAUGGGUAUCUACCCCGAAAGGGGACGGGAAUCUCCUAAAACCAAUCUUAGUUCGGAUUGAGGGCUGCAACUCGCCCUCAUGAAGCUGGAAUCCGUAGUAAUCGCGUUUCAACAGAACGCGGUGAAUACGUCCCUGCUCCCUU
This 269-nucleotide ribosomal RNA is filed under the name uncultured Methanosaeta sp. Its description in RNAcentral is "partial 16S ribosomal RNA". It matches the Rfam family "Archaeal small subunit ribosomal RNA", at positions 1072 to 1338 of the family's 1478-position model. The record is from RNAcentral. Lineage: Archaea; Methanobacteriati; Methanobacteriota; Methanomicrobia; Methanotrichales; Methanotrichaceae.